UUUAUUGUUGUUAUCAGGACAACUAGGAAGAUGUGGACAUGUUUAAUUAGUUUAGAGAGAGAGAGAGAGAGAGAGAUUUGAAGGGAAAGAAGAGAGAGAAAUGGCUAUAGAGGUAGUGCAAAGGAUGUAUGAGUGAGAAAGGGCUCCGCUCCAUUUGUUAAAUAUAAAAAUAUAUAAACAUCGUUCUCUAAUAUUUUAAGCUUUUAAGAGUACAACGGUUGUUUCAUAUGGUAUCAGAGCAGAACAUUAUUAAUUUUCUCCCGCUUAAACUUUUAGAGUACAACGAUUAUUUCAUACCAUUAAAAUGGUUUAUUAUAC
RNAcentral lists this long non-coding RNA (318 nucleotides) under Ananas comosus (pineapple). RNAcentral's name for it is "long non-coding RNA (ACOM_LNC001468)". Lineage: Eukaryota; Viridiplantae; Streptophyta; Magnoliopsida; Poales; Bromeliaceae. The record is from RNAcentral.